Perca flavescens (yellow perch) is the source of this 263-nucleotide long non-coding RNA. RefSeq lists it as uncharacterized. The record is from RefSeq and is a predicted model, not a curated record. The transcript has 3 exons. Lineage: Eukaryota; Metazoa; Chordata; Actinopteri; Perciformes; Percidae.
CUGGACGCUGUUUACAACCCUCAGCUUCGGUUACACAGAGCAGAUGUGCAGCAGCUGCUGGUAAAAGCAGAGGUUCCCCCUGAGCAGCAGGAGUGUAGCUCCAGUGUGGACCAGGAGGAGCCAGAGCCCCCCCCACACAUUAAAGAGGAACAGGAGAAACUGUGUAGCCGUCAGGAGGGAGAGGCUGAUAUCACCAAGUUCCCAUUCACUCCUGUCCCUGUGAAGAGGGAAGAUGAUGAAGAGAAAGAUGUUCAUCGGCAGUC